GGCUGGUCCGAUGGCAGUGGGUUAUCAGAACUUAUUAACAUUAGUGUCACUAAAGUUGGUAUACCCCCCCCCCCACUGCUAAAUUUGACUGGCUUUAA
Molecule: Y RNA, 98 nt
Filed under: Cavia aperea (Brazilian guinea pig)
Lineage: Eukaryota; Metazoa; Chordata; Mammalia; Rodentia; Caviidae
Description: Y RNA (ENSCAPG00000004275.1)
Rfam family: Y RNA
About the family: Y RNAs are components of the Ro ribonucleoprotein particle (Ro RNP), in association with Ro60 and La proteins. The Y RNAs and Ro60 and La proteins are well conserved, but the function of the Ro RNP is not known. In humans the RNA component can be one of four small RNAs -- hY1, hY3, hY4 and hY5.
Source: RNAcentral